UAACUAGAUUGUGUAACGACCCUGGGUUUAUAAGCGCGGAUUUCGCGCUUUUGGGACACAGACGAUAGCGCGCUGGACUUCGGCUAGAAGGUCGAGGGAUCGAGACCUGCUCCAUUACAAUAGUUAAAGAUUUGUAGUUAAGAACGCUGCUAACGAGUAUGAGACGCCUGCGGUCUCAGCUGUCCACCACAAACACCAGGACCUCCGUGCCCAGGCAGUGGUGCAUCCGGUGGGGCCUCAUCCUCUGCUGGCCUACCACGUCCCACAUGGCCAACCCCAGACCCCUUGCUUCCGUCUCCAGCAUCUCUACUCGCUGUACUUGAGCGUGUAGAGCAGGGUGGACUUCCCCGAGCCGUCCAGGCCCAGCAUCACAACCUGAGCCUGCUGAGCAUGCUUAGACCCAUGCAGUCCCAUGCUCAACCCAAACACAGGUCCUGUUGUCUGGAGAAGAAGGCUGGCUUGUGUUAUUGUUGCUGCCUCAGCUCUGUGCAGCAAUGCCCUGCCUGCAGUUACUUUGUGCUCUGCUCUGCCAUCUCACAGUACAUCCAACUGGCCCCAAGACCGCAGACCACAUGUAACCAGCCCAGGUAUUCCAGAUCUGGCUUCGUCACCUGCGGGAUCCUCGGGG
Molecule: long non-coding RNA, 628 nt
Organism: Oncorhynchus gorbuscha (pink salmon)
Lineage: Eukaryota; Metazoa; Chordata; Actinopteri; Salmoniformes; Salmonidae
Exons: 3
Source: RefSeq, a predicted model, not a curated record